RNAcentral lists this ribosomal RNA (468 nucleotides) under uncultured bacterium. Its description in RNAcentral is "partial 16S ribosomal RNA". It matches the Rfam family "Bacterial small subunit ribosomal RNA", at positions 28 to 507 of the family's 1533-position model. The record is from RNAcentral.
GACGAACGCUGGCGGCGUGCUUAACACAUGCAAGUCGAACGGAAAGGCUCCAGCUUGCUGGAGUACUCGAGUGGCGAACGGGUGAGUAACACGUUGGUGAUCUGCCCUGCACUUCGGGAUAAGCCUGGGAAACUGGGUCUAAUACCGGAUAGGACCGCACUUUGGUGUGUGUGGUGGAAAGGUUUUUCUGGUGUGGGAUGAGCUCGCGGCCUAUCAGUUUGUUGGUGGGGUAAUGGCCUACCAAGACGGCGACGGGUAGCCGGCCUGAGAGGGUGGACGGUCACAUUGGGACUGAGAUACGGCCCAGACUCCUACGGGAGGCAGCAGUGGGGAAUAUUGCACAAUGGGGGAAACCCUGAUGCAGCGACGCCGCGUGGGGGAUGAAGGCCUUCGGGUUGUAAACUCCUUUCGCUAGGGACGAAGCUUUUUGUGACGGUACCUGGAGAAGAAGCACCGGCUAACUACGUG